GGGGAAGGGUAGCUUGCUACCUGACCUAGCGGCGGUCGGGUGAGUAAUGCUUAGGAAUCUGCCUAUCUAGUGGGGGACAACAUUCCGAAAGGAAUGCUAAUACCUUAUACGCCCUGCUGGGGAAAGCAGGGGAUCUUCGGACCUUGCGCUAAUAGAUGAUUCUAAGUCAGAUCAGCUAGUUUGGAGGGGUAAAGGCCUUCCAAGGCUACGAUCUGUAGCGGGUCUGAGAGGAUGAUUCCUCACACUGGGACUGAGACACGGCCCAGACUUCUACUGGAGGCAGUAGUUGGGUAAUAUUUGGCCAAUGGGCGAAAGCCUGAUCCAGCCAUGCCGUUGUGUGUGACGAAGAGCCUUUUCGGUCUCGAAAGCCCUUG
RNAcentral lists this ribosomal RNA (374 nucleotides) under uncultured bacterium. RNAcentral's name for it is "bacterial SSU rRNA". It matches the Rfam family "Bacterial small subunit ribosomal RNA", at positions 68 to 436 of the family's 1533-position model. The record is from RNAcentral.